RNAcentral lists this long non-coding RNA (319 nucleotides) under Homo sapiens (human). Its description in RNAcentral is "HSALNT0401568". Lineage: Eukaryota; Metazoa; Chordata; Mammalia; Primates; Hominidae. The record is from RNAcentral.
UCCUGGGUAGAUCCCAGGGAGGUGAGUUGGUGGGGGAUAAAGAGCUCCUGUGUGGCCAGCAGCUGGCUGCAGUUCCCCAGGAAACAGCUUCCGGCAGACACUCAAUCUCCAGUUGUAACAGGUGGUGUGGAGUCCGCUGUCCCAGGGAGUGGGCUCAAGGCCUAGUCCUGCCAAUGAACUUGCUGUAGAAACUUUUCUGUCUAUCAAAUGAGCUUCUCCAUUUCCACCUUUGCAAACUCUGGACUCCAAGGACGCAAGAUGGCCGGAAACAAGAUGGUGGAGCAUGAAGGCCCUUGCCAGAUGACAGCACUAUGCCCUU